RNAcentral lists this ribosomal RNA (301 nucleotides) under uncultured bacterium. RNAcentral's name for it is "partial 16S ribosomal RNA". It matches the Rfam family "Bacterial small subunit ribosomal RNA", at positions 509 to 807 of the family's 1533-position model. The record is from RNAcentral.
CAGUAGCCACGGGAAUACAGAGGGUGCGAGCGUUAAUCGGAUUUACUGGGCGUAAAGCGUGCGUAGGCGGCUAAUUGAGUCGGAUGUGAAAUCCACGAGCUUAACUUGGGAAUUGCAUUCGAUACUGGUUAGCUAGAGUGUGGGAGAGGAUGGUAGAAUUCCAGGUGUAGCGGUGAAAUGCGUAGAGAUCUGGAGGAAUACCGAUGGCGAAGGCAGCCAUCUGGCCUAACACUGACGCUGAGGUACGAAAGCAUGGGGAGCAAACAGGAUUAGAUACCCCGGUAGUCCCUGUCUCUUAUAC